AAUAUUGGAUAAUGGGCGAAAGCCUAAUCUAGCUAUCCCGCGUGUGUGAAGAUGGUCCUUGAAUAGUAAAGCAUUUUAAGUUGAGAGGAAGGGCAGUAAUUUAAUACCUUGCUAUUUUGACGUUACUGACAGAAUAAGCACUGGCAAAUUUCGUCCAAGCAGCCGCGGCAAUACGAAGGGUGCAAGCGGUAACCGGAAUUACUGGGCGUAAAGCGCGAGUAGGUUGUUUGUUAAGUUGGAAAUGAAAGCCCCGGGCUCAACCUGGGAACUGCUUUCAAAACUGGCAAGCUAGAGUAUGGCAGAGGGUGGUGGAAUUACCUGUGUAGCAGUGAAAUGCGUAGAUAUAGGAAGGAACACCAGUGGCGAAGGCGACCACCUGGGCUAAUACUAACACUGAGGUGCGAAAGCGUGGGGAGCAAAC
This 421-nucleotide ribosomal RNA is filed under the name uncultured bacterium. Its description in RNAcentral is "partial 16S ribosomal RNA". It matches the Rfam family "Bacterial small subunit ribosomal RNA", at positions 360 to 773 of the family's 1533-position model. The record is from RNAcentral.